RNAcentral lists this ribosomal RNA (453 nucleotides) under uncultured bacterium. Its description in RNAcentral is "bacterial SSU rRNA". It matches the Rfam family "Bacterial small subunit ribosomal RNA", at positions 340 to 786 of the family's 1533-position model. The record is from RNAcentral.
UACGGAAGGCAGCAGUGGGGAAUAUUGCACAAUGGGCGAAAGCCUGAUGCAGCUAUGCCGCGUGUAUGAAGAAGGCCUUAGGGUUGUAAAGUACUUUCAUCGGGGAGGAAAAACAAAACUAAUAAUUUUAUUUCUUGACGUUACCCGAAAAAGAAGCACCGGCUAACUCCGUGCCAGCAGCCGCGGUAAUACGGAGGGUGCUAGCGUUAAUCAGAAUUACUGGGCGUAAAGAGCACGUAGGUGGUUUUUUUAAGUCAGAUGUGAAAUCCCUGGGCUUAACCUGGAACUGCAUUUUGAAACUGAAAUACUAGAGUAUCGUAGAGGGAGGUAGAAUUCUAGGUGUAGCGGUGAAAUGCGUAGAUAUCUGGAGGAAUACCUGUGGCGAAAGCGGCCUCCUAAACGAAUACUGACACUGAGUGCGAAAGCGUGGGGAGCAAACGAGGAUUAGAUACC